GAUGAACGCUGGCGGCGUGCUUAACACAUGCAAGUCGAACGAAGCACUUUCUUUAGAUUCUUCGGAUGAAGAAGAUUGUGACUGAGUGGCGGACGGGUGAGUAACGCGUGGGUAACCUGCCUCAUACAGGGGGAUAACAGUUAGAAAUGACUGCUAAUACCGCAUAAGCGCACAGCUUCGCAUGAAGCGGUGUGAAAAACUCCGGUGGUAUGAGAUGGACCCACGUCUGAUUAGGUAGUUGGUGGGGUAACGGCCUACCAAGCCGACGAUCAGUAGCCGGCCUGAGAGGGUGGACGGCCACAUUGGGACUGGGACACGGCCCAAACUCCUACGGGAGGCAGCAGUGGGGAAUAUUGCACAAUGGGGGAAACCCUGAUGCAGCGACGCCGCGUGAAGGAAGAAGUAUUUCGGUAUGUAAACUUCUAUCAGCAGGGAAGAAAAUGACGGUACCUGACUAAGAAGCCCCGGCUAACUACGUGCCAGCAGCCGCGGUAAUACGUAGGGGGCAAGCGUUAUCCGGAUUUACUGGGUGUAAAGGGAGCGUAGACGGAUGUGCAAGCCAGAUGUGAAAACCCGGGGCUCAACCCCGGGACUGCAUUUGGAACUGUGCAUCUAGAGUGCUGGAGAGGUAAGUGGAAUUCCUAGUGUAGCGGUGAAACGCGUAGAUAUUAGGAGGAACACCAGUGGCGAAGGCGGCUUACUGGACAGUAACUGACGUUGAGGCUCGAAAGCGUGGGGAGCAAACAGGAUUAGAUACCCUGGUAGUCC
Molecule: ribosomal RNA, 768 nt
Filed under: uncultured bacterium
Lineage: Bacteria
Description: bacterial SSU rRNA
Rfam family: Bacterial small subunit ribosomal RNA
Source: RNAcentral